This 216-nucleotide ribosomal RNA is filed under the name Glomeromycotina sp. RNAcentral's name for it is "partial small subunit ribosomal RNA". The stretch from base 40 to 216 matches the Rfam family "Eukaryotic small subunit ribosomal RNA", at positions 686 to 864 of the family's 1831-position model. Lineage: Eukaryota; Fungi; Glomeromycota. The record is from RNAcentral.
GGGUCAGUAGGUUGGUCGUGCCACCGGUACGUACUGGUCUCACUGAUUCCUCCUUCCUGAAGAACCGUAAUGCCAUUAAUUUGGUGUUGCGGGGAAACAGGACUGUUACUUUGAAAAAAAUAGAGUGUUUAAAGCAAGCUAACGCUUGAAUACAUUAGCAUGGAAUAAUGAAAUAGGACGAUCGAUCCUAUUUUGUUGGUUUCUAGGAUUGACGUA